RNAcentral lists this long non-coding RNA (2498 nucleotides) under Salvia miltiorrhiza (redroot sage). Its description in RNAcentral is "long non-coding RNA (SMIL_LNC007783)". Lineage: Eukaryota; Viridiplantae; Streptophyta; Magnoliopsida; Lamiales; Lamiaceae. The record is from RNAcentral.
AAAACUAUAAAUUAUAAUUAUCUUAUAUGGCUGCCAACUACCACAACAACUAAAUUUAUUAUGCCAUAAAGAUACAAUAAUAUAAAUAGAGAGAACUUCAUUUCUAGGGUUUCAAGUCCACCUUCAUUCUAAAGGUUAGGAGGCGCCGCUUCACUCUAGAAUUCUAGAGUCUUCUCUCUAAAUUCUUACCCUAAUUCCAUACCCCGCAUAUCCCAUCCUUCUCCACAUCCAAAUCUGAAAACUAUUCCACAAUACCAUCCACAAACUUCAAUUACAGCUACACAACUACCAAUUUUUUGAUCCAAAUCCCUUCGAAAACUUAGAAAUCUCGCUUAUUCAGUGUGUACAAAUACAGAGCCUAAAACUCACAACAUCUGAAAGUCUCUCGCAAGUGCAGCCACGCCUACCGACACUACAUGCACAAUUGGUGAAGCCAAGAACCAGAAACGCCGAAUCCUUUCAGAUCCGAAGAGUAUGAGCAAAAAGGUACAAAUACCGAGAUUUCUUAACCCUUACUUUAGACUUACACUAAAGUUUCAAAAUUAACUAACACCAAAACACGAAUCCUUUUCAGAUUUGAAGACGCUGAUUUAAAAAUUUCAGAGCCCCCAGUUCGAUCUACAGGAAGGAACAAUUACCUAUGGAAUGGCUUUAUAAGAAGGCCAAAGAGGUAGUAAUUUAUAGCUCAAUAUAUUCAUCAAUAAAUUGUAUUACCAGAAAUUCGAUACUUACUAACUAAAUGUCCUUCCAAACAGUUUAAGCACAAUUUUCAUGUACAAUAAUCCGCCAAAAAAAGAUAAGUAUCUUACCUCCUGUGUACUUAAUUUCUUUGUUGUAUAUUUUUCACUUUAUCUAAGACAUUCCUUACUAAUACUCAAACUUAUGUGAUUUUCUUACAGAAAUUUAAAAAAUAAUGGAGAGCAAAAAACAGAAACGUGAAGAUCUACUGAAGUUUAUUAUGCAGAUAAAAACUUCACUGUCUACUCAAGAUCUACAGCAAAAAUGAAGAACCAAUAUCAAGAUAAGAACUCAUUUUCAUACAUUAUUCACAAAGAUAGAAAUAUAAUAAAUACCAGUAGAAUUUUCUGCAUUUGAUCUGACGCCAGUAAUCUUCAACGAUUUUGUUAGCUUUCUCAUUUAGAAUCACCUGUAAAAUAUGUGAAAAAAUUAGUAAAAAUUAAUAAAAAAAAAUUCCUCAAUAAAAAAACUCGUAUAAAAAAAAGGUGAAGAAUAAUAUAAUCACUUUCACAACAAAAAUGGUUAAAAGUAAAGAAACUUCAACUUUACUGUUCUUGAGUAAUAUAAGCUUCUGAGAUUUGCUAAUAUGAGCACUGUAAGUGAAUCUGCAGAUGAGAAAAAAUGAGCCUUUAUUACAAAACUUAUUUAUAUAAAAGUUAAUUAGCUAAUAUCCAGUGGUUAUUAACCUGCAAGUAUUCAAAUGUCAAGACAGUACAGAUAAUACCUCCUCACAGUUCCUAGGAAAUAACAACACAUGCUAACUUUUUUCCUAAGCGAGGCGCAUGGAGUGUGGGCUUAAUUAAUAAAAUAUUAUUAAUUAAGUGUGAGGCAAAUUAGUGUGGUGUGCAGGAGGUAUACAGCUGUAUAUCAUUUAUUCUAAAAUAUUAGGAUAUUCCACUAUUCUAAUAAAAUAUUAUUAAUUAAGAGUGAGGCAAAUUAGUGUGGUGUGCAGGAGGUAUACAGCUCAUUUAUUCUAAAAUAUUAGGAUAUUCUAGUACUAUAUGAACUAAUCUAUUAAAUAUUAAUUUAUAUACAAAUUAGUGAAUUACCCAUUAUCUAAAUUCUAGAAGUCAGUUCGUCACUUACCUUAGGUAAAUAUAUUAGAAUUUUUUAGGCUUUACUGCGCCUCGCCUACGAAAAGCCCGCGCCUGCGCUUAAAGCCCUGCGCCUAGGCUCCGAGGCAUGUUUGCGCCUCAUGCGCCUCGGGCUUUUUAAAACCCAGAUCAGACUUAUACUCACAUAUAUAUAUACAUAAUAGAAUUUUAUAAAUUUUAAUAUUAUAUUCAUAAAACUAAAUUUAUAUAUCUUAUGUGACAUUUUGGGAAUUUUGGGUUCCUUUUUAUAUUUUUCAAUAUUGAGUUCAUUGAAUUCUCACUUUCAUAAUACAGAAAUUUUAACUUUAUGUAAAGUUUCAUUAGUAUUGAGUUCAUUGAAUCCUCACUUUCAUAUUUCUCAAUUUUGAGUUCAUUAGUAUCUUAAACCAUAGAUAUCUUUAAAUUUAUGAAAAGUUUACUGUGUUGAAAGUACAGCCCAUAUACUUAUGAUCUACCCAUAAAUAUCUCUAUCUCCUAUUUUACUGAUUUAUAUGCUUAAAAAUACAGGUCAUAUACUGAUGUUGUGGCUCCAAGAUCAAAACACCAUACAAAAUCCUUAUGAAAUAUUGUGGCUACUAUGCAUAAGGUAACAUCACCUUACUUGUAAAUUAUGUUAGACUUUGAAUGGAGUGUGAUCUGCCUGGUGAUCACGGAGAUGGCCUGCCU